RNAcentral lists this transfer RNA (72 nucleotides) under Toxocara canis (dog roundworm). It matches the Rfam family "tRNA". From Rfam's summary of the family: Transfer RNA (tRNA) molecules are approximately 80 nucleotides in length. The record is from Rfam by way of RNAcentral. Lineage: Eukaryota; Metazoa; Nematoda; Chromadorea; Rhabditida; Toxocaridae.
CGGGCAGCAGUUCAGAGAGUAGAACCCUCGUCUCGUGAGCGAGAGACUCGGGUUCAACUCCAGGCUGCUCCG